RNAcentral lists this long non-coding RNA (356 nucleotides) under Mytilus galloprovincialis (Mediterranean mussel). Lineage: Eukaryota; Metazoa; Mollusca; Bivalvia; Mytilida; Mytilidae. The record is from RNAcentral.
UUUAGGCAGUGUUUAACACCCUAAAAAAUGCAAGACUGCAGCUCUCGGUUCAAACAAGCUUCAAUCUCGUAUCGCAUGCUGUAACUUAAAUUGGUCUUACGUUCGUACAAUCUUCAAUUUUUUGUUAUGUUAUGAACGUAAAUGUAUCUUUGAUGAGUCAUGACUUCGUCAGUUUUAUGGAUGGAAUGUUACAUCUGAAUUUGGUUAAAACUCAUUCUAUUACUUGAGUACUGUUUGAAGCCUCCACAAAAAAAAUACAUUUAUAUAAACAUCAAUAAAACAAUUUGCGGCAUUAGAUAAAAUCCUGUAAAGUUUAUUUCAGCAACAAUAUGUUAAUUUCAUAAUCCAGUGGCAAC